RNAcentral lists this ribosomal RNA (421 nucleotides) under uncultured bacterium. Its description in RNAcentral is "partial 16S ribosomal RNA". It matches the Rfam family "Bacterial small subunit ribosomal RNA", at positions 360 to 773 of the family's 1533-position model. The record is from RNAcentral.
AAUAAUGGACAAUGGGGGCAACCCUGAUCCAGCCAUGCCGCGUGUGUGAAGAAGGUCUUCGGAUUGUAAAGCACUUUAAGUUGGGAGGAAGGGCUGUAGGCUAAUACCCUGAAGUUUUGACGUUACCAACAGAAUAAGCACCGGCUAACUCUGUGCCAGCAGCCGCGGUAAUACAGAGGGGGCAAGCGUUAAUCGGAAUUACUGGGCGUAAAGAGCGCGUAGGUGGUUCAGUAAGAUGGGUGUGAAAACCCCGGGCUUAACAUGGGAACUGCUUUCAUAACUGCUGGGCUAGAGGACGGUAGAGGGUAGUGGAAUUUCCUGUGUAGCGGUGAAAUGCGUAGAUAUGAGAAGAAACACCAGUGGCGAAGGCGACUACCUGGACUGAUACUGACACUGAGGUGCGAAAGCGUGGGGAGCAAAC